This 468-nucleotide ribosomal RNA is filed under the name uncultured bacterium. RNAcentral's name for it is "partial 16S ribosomal RNA". It matches the Rfam family "Bacterial small subunit ribosomal RNA", at positions 28 to 507 of the family's 1533-position model. The record is from RNAcentral.
GACGAACGCUGGCGGCGCGCCUAACACAUGCAAGUCGAACGGAGUCAAGAGGAGCUUGCUUUUCUUGACUUAGUGGCGAACGGGUGAGUAACGCGUGAGUAACCUGCCCUGGAGUGGGGGACAACAGUUGAAAACGACUGCUAAUACCGCAUAAGCCCACGGAUCUGCAUGGAUCUGCGGGAAAAGGAUUUAUUCGCUCUAGGAUGGACUCGCGUCCAAUUAGCUAGUUGGUGAGGUAACGGCCCACCAAGGCGACGAUUGGUAGCCGGACUGAGAGGUUGAACGGCCACAUUGGGACUGAGACACGGCCCAGACUCCUACGGGAGGCAGCAGUGGGGGAUAUUGCACAAUGGGGGAAACCCUGAUGCAGCGACGCCGCGUGGAGGAAGAAGGUUUUCGGAUUGUAAACUCCUGUCGUUAGGGACGAUAAUGACGGUACCUAACAAGAAAGCACCAGCUAACUACGUG